CACGCACAGGGCAAACCAUUCGAAAGAGUGGGACGCAAAGCCUCCGGCCUAAACGGCAUUGCACUCCGCCGUAGGUAGCGGGGUUACCGAU
Molecule: non-coding RNA, 91 nt
Filed under: unclassified sequences
Description: C-di-GMP riboswitch c-di-GMP sequence
Rfam family: c-di-GMP-I-GGC riboswitch aptamer
Source: RNAcentral